GACGAACGCUGGCGGCGUGCUUAACACAUGCAAGUCGAACGGAAAGGCCCUGCUUUUGUGGGGUGCUCGAGUGGCGAACGGGUGAGUAACACGUGAGUAACCUGCCCUUUACUUUGGGAUAACUCCAGGAAACUGGGGCUACUACCGGAUAGGAGCUCCUGCUGCAUGGUGGGGGUUGGAAAGUUUCGGCGGUUGGGGAUGGACUCGCGGCUUAUCAGCUUGUUGGUGGGGUAGUGGCUUACCAAGGCUUUGACGGGUAGCCGGCCUGAGAGGGGGACCGGCCACAUUGGGACUGAGAGAGGGCCCAGACUGCUACGGGAGGCAGCAGUGGGGAAUAUUGCACAAUGGGCGGAAGCGUGAUGCAGCAACGCCGCGUGCGUGAUGACGGCCUGCGGGUUGUAAACCGCUUUCGCCUGUGACGAAGCGUGAGUGACGGUAAUGGGUAAAGAAGCACCGGCUAACUACGUG
RNAcentral lists this ribosomal RNA (468 nucleotides) under uncultured bacterium. RNAcentral's name for it is "partial 16S ribosomal RNA". It matches the Rfam family "Bacterial small subunit ribosomal RNA", at positions 28 to 507 of the family's 1533-position model. The record is from RNAcentral.